RNAcentral lists this ribosomal RNA (253 nucleotides) under uncultured bacterium. RNAcentral's name for it is "partial 16S ribosomal RNA". It matches the Rfam family "Bacterial small subunit ribosomal RNA", at positions 524 to 776 of the family's 1533-position model. The record is from RNAcentral.
UACGUAGGGUGCAAGCGUUGUCCGGAAUUAUUGGGCGUAAAGAGCUUGUAGGCGGUUUGUCGCGUCUGCUGUGAAAUUUCGGGGCUCAACCCCGAACUUGCAGUGGGUACGGGCAGACUAGAGUGUGGUAGGGGAGACUGGAAUUCCUGGUGUAGCGGUGAAAUGCGCAGAUAUCAGGAGGAACACCGAUGGCGAAGGCAGGUCCCUGGGCCACUACUGACGCUGAGAAGCGAAAGCAUGGGGAGCGAACAGG